UACGUAGGGGGCUAGCGUUGCUCGGAAUCACUGGGCGUAAAGGGUGCGUAGGCGGAUCUUUAAGUCAGGGGUGAAAUCCUGGAGCUCAACUCCAGAACUGCCUUUGAUACUGAGGAUCUCGAGUUCGGGAGAGGUGAGUGGAACUGCGAGUGUAGAGGUGAAAUUCGUAGAUAUUCGCAAGAACACCAGUGGCGAAGGCGGCUCACUGGCGCGAUACUGACGCUGAGGCACGAAAGCGUGGGGAGCAAACAGG
RNAcentral lists this ribosomal RNA (253 nucleotides) under uncultured bacterium. RNAcentral's name for it is "partial 16S ribosomal RNA". It matches the Rfam family "Bacterial small subunit ribosomal RNA", at positions 524 to 776 of the family's 1533-position model. The record is from RNAcentral.